Molecule: ribosomal RNA, 628 nt
Filed under: uncultured bacterium
Lineage: Bacteria
Description: bacterial SSU rRNA
Rfam family: Bacterial small subunit ribosomal RNA
Source: RNAcentral
AGAGUUUGAUCCUGGCUCAGAACGAACGCUGGCGGCGUGGAUUAGGCAUGCAAGUCGAACGGGAUCCAAGAGGUUCAAGUUUUCGGACGAGAAUCUUUUGGUGAGAGUGGCGAACGGGUGAGUAACGCGUGGGUAAUUUGCCCUAAAGUUGGGGAUAGCCAAUCGAAAGGUUGGAUAAUACCGAAUGUGGUCAGCUUCCGCAUGGAAGCCUAUCUAAAGGUGGGGAUCUUCGGACCUGCCGCUUUAGGAUGAGCCCGCGUCCCAUCAGCUUGUUGGUAAGGUAACGGCUUACCAAGGCUUACGGGUAGCUGGUCUGAGAGGAUGGUCAGCCACACUGGGACUGAGACACUGCCCAGACUCCUACGGGAGGCUGCAGUCGAGAAUCAUUCGCAAUGCACGAAAGUGCGACGAUGCGACGCCGCGUGCAGGAUGACGGCCUUCGGGUUGUAAACUGCUGUCUUGAGGGAACAAUAGCACGGAGGUGAAUAGCCUGUUGUGUGUGAUGGUACCUCAGGAGGAAGCCACGGCUAACUCUGUGCCAUCAGCCGCGGUAAUACAUAAGGAGCAAGCGUUGUCCGGAAUUAUUGGGCGUAAAGAGCUCGUAGACGGUUUUGAAAGUCAGCUGUGA